UGAGCAAUCUGCCCUUCUCAUCGGAAUAAGCGUUGGAAACGACGUCUAAUGCCGAAUACGACCUCCUUUCGCAUGAUCGGAGGUGGAAAGCUCCGGCGGAGAAGGAUGAGCUCGCGGCCUAUCAGCUAGUUGGUGUGGUAAUGGCCCACCAAGGCGACGACGGGUAGCCGGCCUGAGAGGGUGACCGGCCACACUGGGACUGAGACACGGCCCAGACUCCGUACGGGAGCAG
This 232-nucleotide ribosomal RNA is filed under the name uncultured bacterium. RNAcentral's name for it is "partial 16S ribosomal RNA". It matches the Rfam family "Bacterial small subunit ribosomal RNA", at positions 118 to 347 of the family's 1533-position model. The record is from RNAcentral.